GUGCUGCUUAUUCAGUUUAUAUCUAAUUUAUAAAUUUGACUAUUGUUAAAUAAUGGAAUGUGUUCCACUAUAGACUAAGAAUGACUUUCGGCUAAUUUGACGGUUGGGUUGCUGUCUCAUUCUAUAAUUUCCUCAUCACCCACUUUUGAUCACUUUUUUAUACCUCUUUGAUUUCUUUUUUAAUAUAAUUGUGAAAAACAGGAAUUAGCACUCCUCCUAAUAUAAUAAAGACAGCUCCAAAUACUGCAAAAAUUAUGCUACACUUGAUAGACUUUGAGCUGCACAUCUUCAUGAUCUUGUAAACAAUAACAUGUGAUUGCACGUCUACUGGUUCUCUAUUCUAUGGUAUUGCUAUUGUUAUACAUUUACAUACC
This 374-nucleotide long non-coding RNA is filed under the name Mytilus galloprovincialis (Mediterranean mussel). Lineage: Eukaryota; Metazoa; Mollusca; Bivalvia; Mytilida; Mytilidae. The record is from RNAcentral.